Long non-coding RNA from Oncorhynchus tshawytscha (Chinook salmon), 3347 nucleotides. NCBI's taxonomy places the organism in Eukaryota, Metazoa, Chordata, Actinopteri, Salmoniformes, Salmonidae. The record is from Ensembl.
ACCGUCCUCUCCAGUAGACUGAUAGGAUCCCUGCUCCAGUUCCUCAGGAGGACUCUGUCCUCAACCUUCAGCCACGUGGGAGCCGCACUGAGAUACGUCUGGGACAGGAUCAGCUCUCAGGAGUCUAAAGAAGCCAUCCUGGGCUGAGUGCUGUGUCUCCUUAACAUGCACAAGAAGGUGGAUCAGCCAGCAGCUGACUCUCACUGAGUCACUCUCUUGGCUUUCCUCUUCAGAAAGAAAGAGAGAGAGGACGAGAGAGAACAAGAACAAGAAAAAGAGAGAGAGAGAGAGGGGGGAGAGAGAGAGAGAGAGAGAGAGAGAGAGAGAGAGAGAGAGAGAGAGAGAGAGGAAGAGAGAGAGAGGAAGAGAGGGAGAUUUCUCUGGUGAGCUCUUUCUUCUCUUUUCUUUCACCCCUUGUUUAGUGUGAGAGAGAGAGAACAAGAGAAGAAGGGAGGUUUCAAAACUUGAAUAGCUUUAAUUUGGACUGUAGUAUUUCUCUUAGCAGAGUCGAGCUGCCUGAUUCAGGUGAACGAGACUGUAUUUCUCUGUGUGGACCGUAUAGUACCGCUGGGCUAACCAUGUCAGAGAGCAUCGUUAGGAAGAUACAACCCUUCACCAUCGGAACCAGGCUCUCCGUCUCUGGACCUGCCACCAGGUCUAAAGGUCCAAACUUCCCCCAGAGGCCGUCCUGGCAGAGCGACCGGGUCUCCCUCUACCUCAGCCAGGUGCAGGUGAGUGUGGCUGCUCCUUAUCUAGCUCCCCUUGCUAACCGGACCACCCCAACAUCUGUACCUGUUAAACAGCAGCAGGAGGGCAUAUCUACCCAGGACCACCGGAACCAGAAUACCAUGUCUGUGUCUCCCAACUCCCACCGGAGCUCUGUCUCUCCUACCGCCACAUCCAGAUCCAUCAGCAAGAUCACCAUCUCUGGGAGCCCAGAGGACAGCUCCUGGAGGAGACAGGAGGAGUCAGACCACAGGGUGGUUAUUGAGAAGGAGGACAGCUCCUGGAGGAGACAGGAGGAGUCAGACCACAGGGUGGUCAUUGAGAAGGAGGACAGCUCCUGGAGGAGACAGGAGGAGUCAGACCACAGGGUGGUCAGUAUAGGACUAGGACCGGGACGACCCCCUGUCACAGGAACUCCCGGAUCAGAAAACAUCAACAACAACAACAACAACAACAACAUCAGCAGCUCCAAGCAACAGCUGUCCAGAAUAGUGGGAGUCAGCUGUGAGAACCAACCCAGCUCACAUAUUAAGCAGGGUAGAGGGUUAAUCAGAGCCCAGCACCCCGGCAACUCUAAGAUCCAGGACUUCUUGAUUCGGCUGGAGGAGUUAUGGGAGGAGCUAAGGAGACGACAUCACAGGAACCAGUUCUACCUGCAGGCAGGGGAGGAGAUGAGCUUUAGGACAGUGCAUCUCCUCCAGGCCUUGGGUAGUAUAGAAGCUUGGUUGGAGGCAGCAGAGCUGUCCAUGUCGAACUCCCAGCUGGCAGGAGACCCAGAGACCAUGAGGCUGGCUGUGAGAGACAGCUGCCUGCUCCAGACAGAGAUAUCCUGCCGGGGAAUGGAGCUAACAGCACUCAGACAGGAGAUGGACAGGCUGGGUGGUCAGCGGGAGGGUCAGUGCCCAGGAUACCCCAACACUGAGGGCCUCCAGGUGCCACAACACCACACACAGGUCCUCCCAGAUCUUAUGGACCAGGUGGAGAGAAAGUACCAACGUGUCCAGACCGCGUUGACCCAGCAGAGUUCGUCGCUGCAGGACACCAGGAUGCUGACAGAGUUUCUGGAGCGGGUGGAGCUAGAGGAGAGGGUGGAGCUAGAGGAGACCCAGAAGGCCAGGGGUAGGGGCUACAGCAGUAACCUUGGACAGCCUCUCCACGGUGAGAUCAGCUCAGCUCUUACCCUGCUGGGUGAUGGGGGUGGAAGCGGUGGUGGGGAGCCCCUGAUGGAGCCGCUGGGAAACCCUGUAGAGGAGCUGCAGGAGGCAGUGGAGAUGUUGAAUGACACGGUCAGAGAGAGAGGACGAUCACAGAAUCACAUCCAUGAGCAAGCCAUCCAGACUAUGGUCCGACAGCUGGCUUUGCUGUCAGUGCGUGUGGAGGACAGUCUGUGCUGCAGUAGAGAGCUGAACCAGGAACUCCUACAGAGAGAGAAAGACAUGGCCAUGCGCUGUGAACCAGAACAAUGUGGACUAGAGGGACUGAAGGAACAGCAAGACCACCUAGAGGUGAAUUAUGCUGUGCUGAAGGAAGAGGUGGAGGAGCUCCAGAGACAGACUGGUUAUCUAGAGGAGCUAUGCCCAGAGAGAGUGACCUUCCUGGCGGUGGAGGUGCAGGGAGCCCUGGGGGUAUGGAGGGAAUUAAGGAGGAACGUAGAGGGGAACAGAGACCGAUUACGACAGUUUGUUCACCUGCAGGACUUCUUCAGGACCUACCUGGCCAUGAUAUCGUGGAUGGAGGACACCCGGGAGUGUAUUUUCUCUGAGAGAGUGUUGCAUUGUGGGAGGGACGACCAGGAGCCAAUGGCUGCGGAGAUGGAGAUGGACGUCCAGAUAGACAGGAAGUUGGAGGAGUUGGAGGAGCUGGAUGCUGCAGGGAGGAACCUGCUGAACGCUGAGCACCACCUGGCCAACAUGGACAACAACAUGACAUCAGCUCCUGCAUACGAGAGUAUGUUACUGCCCCGCCUCCACACCAAGACCUCCUCCUCUUCAUCCCCCUCCUCCUCCAGGGCUCCUCAAUCUUGCGUCUCUUUCCCCUCCUCCCUGCCCAAGAACACCUCCAUCUUUUCUAGUCUAAAGAUAAGGAGCAAGAAGAGGAGAAGGAAGAGAGACGCUGGCCGCCACACCAUUCAGAAAAUCAUGGUUGUAGAGGGGGAGGAGCAGACAGAGGUGGCAUGUCCUGCUGAAGCUGCACCCCAGCAAAUCACGCUGUACGACACCCAGACCUGGCCAAUGAAGGAGGGCCGGAGGAAGAAGAAGAGCCUAUUAAAGGCCGACGGGGUGGGCCCAGGGCAGGGGGUGGAACUCGUGGACUACAUGGAUAACCCAUUGGCCAGGGAUAUUGAAGAUGAAUGUUCUGGGGUGUCCACUGUCAGCCCCUAUGCAGUGACAGAGGCAGUCUCUAUAGCUCCACCCAGGGGCCAGGUGAGGAGCCACUGCAGGUUCCUGUCUCUGGGGUCUGUUUUGACCUUCGACCUCUCCAAAGACAUGAGGUUGAUCCCCAGUAUACAGGAUGUCAUCACUAUAGGACUCCCAGAACACAGGGGAACCUCCAACCCAAACCUCAAUCCCAACCCUCACACAGAGACACAUGCAGCCCUCAGCUCUUUCAAACAUACCCGC